Molecule: ribosomal RNA, 1418 nt
Filed under: Psychrobacter sp.
Lineage: Bacteria; Pseudomonadati; Pseudomonadota; Gammaproteobacteria; Moraxellales; Moraxellaceae
Description: bacterial SSU rRNA
Rfam family: Bacterial small subunit ribosomal RNA
Source: RNAcentral
CUACCUGCAGUCGAGCGGAACGAUGGUAGCUUGCUACCAGGCGUCGAGCGGCGGACGGGUGAGUAAUACUUAGGAAUCUACCUAGUAGUGGGGGAUAGCUCGGGGAAACUCGAAUUAAUACCGCAUACGACCUACGGGAGAAAGGGGGCAGUUUACUGCUCUCGCUAUUAGAUGAGCCUAAGUCGGAUUAGCUAGAUGGUGGGGUAAAGGCCUACCAUGGCGACGAUCUGUAGCUGGUCUGAGAGGAUGAUCAGCCACACCGGGACUGAGACACGGCCCGGACUCCUACGGGAGGCAGCAGUGGGGAAUAUUGGACAAUGGGGGAAACCCUGAUCCAGCCAUGCCGCGUGUGUGAAGAAGGCCUUUUGGUUGUAAAGCACUUUAAGCAGUGAAGAAGACUCCGUGGUUAAUACCCACGGACGAUGACAUUAGCUGCAGAAUAAGCACCGGCUAACUCUGUGCCAGCAGCCGCGGUAAUACAGAGGGUGCAAGCGUUAAUCGGAAUUACUGGGCGUAAAGGGAGCGUAGGUGGCUCGAUAAGUCAGAUGUGAAAUCCCCGGGGCUCAACCUGGGAACUGCAUCUGAUACUGUUGAGCUAGAGUAUGUGAGAGGAAGGUAGAAUUCCAGGUGUAGCGGUGAAAUGCGUAGAGAUCUGGAGGAAUACCGAUGGCGAAGGCAGCCUUCUGGCAUAAUACUGACACUGAGGCUCGAAAGCGUGGGUAGCAAACAGGAUUAGAUACCCUGGUAGUCCACGCCGUAAACGAUGUCUACUAAGUCGUUGGGUCCCUUGAGGACUUAGUGACGCAGCUAACGCAAUAAGUAGACCGCCUGGGGGAGUACGGCCGCAAGGUUAAAACUCAAAUGAAUUGACGGGGGCCCGCACAAGCGGUGGAGCAUGUGGUUUAAUUCGAUGCAACGCGAAGAACCUUACCUGGUCUUGACAUAUCUAGAAUCCUGCAGAGAUGCGGGAGUGCCUUCGGGAAUUAGAAUACAGGUGCUGCAUGGCUGUCGUCAGCUCGUGUCGUGAGAUGUUGGGUUAAGUCCCGCAACGAGCGCAACCCUUGUCCUUAGUUACCAGCGGGUUAAGCCGGGAACUCUAAGGAUACUGCCAGUGACAAACUGGAGGAAGGCGGGGACGACGUCAAGUCAUCAUGGCCCUUACGACCAGGGCUACACACGUGCUACAAUGGUAGGUACAGAGGGCAGCUACACAGCGAUGUGAUGCGAAUCUCAAAAAGCCUAUCGUAGUCCAGAUUGGAGUCUGCAACUCGACUCCAUGAAGUAGGAAUCGCUAGUAAUCGCGGAUCAGAAUGCCGCGGUGAAUACGUUCCCGGGCCUUGUACACACCGCCCGUCACACCAUGGGAGUUGAUUGCACCAGAAGUGGAUAGCUUAACCUUCGGGGGAGCGUCACCUACG